AACCAUCAAUAAGAGAACUACAUUUUACUGUAUUAGUAUUCAAGUUUUUGCUUUGCAUUUCUUCAAAGAGAUUCAUGGCUUCUCUUACGUAACCCAUUAAUCACGAUCAUA
This 111-nucleotide microRNA precursor is filed under the name Cajanus cajan (pigeon pea). RNAcentral's name for it is "miRNA gene-KK1_011633". The record is from RNAcentral. Lineage: Eukaryota; Viridiplantae; Streptophyta; Magnoliopsida; Fabales; Fabaceae.